AACGUAGGAGGCGAGCGUUAUCCGGAUUUACUGGGCGUAAAGCGCGCGCAGGCGGCUUCGUGAGUCGGAUGUGAAAGCUCCUGGCUUAACUAGGAGAGGCCAUUCGAUACUGCGAGGCUUGAGGUUGGGAGAGGGGUGCGGAAUUCCCGGUGUAGUGGUGGAAUGCGUAGAUAUCGGGAGGAACACCUGUGGCGAAAGCGGCACCCUGGCCCACACCUGACGCUGAGGUGCGAAAGCGUGGGUAGCAAACAGG
Molecule: ribosomal RNA, 253 nt
Filed under: uncultured bacterium
Lineage: Bacteria
Description: partial 16S ribosomal RNA
Rfam family: Bacterial small subunit ribosomal RNA
Source: RNAcentral